UACGUAGGGGGCAAGCGUUGUCCGGAAUUAUUGGGCGUAAAGCGCGUGCAGGCGGCCUUGUAAGUCUGUCGUUUAAACUCGGAGCUCAACUUCGAGUCGCGAUGGAAACUGCAAAGCUUGAGUGCAGAAGAGGAAAGUGGAAUUCCACGUGUAGCGGUGAAAUGCGUAGAGAUGUGGAGGAACACCAGUGGCGAAGGCGACUUUCUGGGCUGUAACUGACGCUGAGGCGCGAAAGCGUGGGGAGCAAACAGG
RNAcentral lists this ribosomal RNA (252 nucleotides) under uncultured bacterium. RNAcentral describes it as "partial 16S ribosomal RNA". It matches the Rfam family "Bacterial small subunit ribosomal RNA", at positions 524 to 776 of the family's 1533-position model. The record is from RNAcentral.